UAACGCGAAGAACCUUACCAGGUCUUGACAUCUUCUGCUAGCCUAAGAGAUUAGGCGUUCCCUUCGGGGACGGAAUGACAGGUGGUGCAUGGUUGUCGUCAGCUCGUGUCGUGAGAUGUUGGGUUAAGUCCCGCAACGAGCGCAACCCUUAUUGUCAGUUGCCAGCAUUUAGUUGGGCACUCUGGCGAGACUGCCGGUGACAAACCGGAGGAAGGUGGGGAUGACGUCAAAUCAUCAUGCCCCUCAUGACCUGGGCUACACACGUGCUACAAUGGACGGUACAACGAGUCGCGAAACCGCGAGGUCAAGCUAAUCUCUUAAAGCCGUUCUCAGUUCGGAUUGUAGGCUGCAACUCGCCUACAUGAAGUUGGAAUCGCUAGUAAUCGUGGAUCAGC
RNAcentral lists this ribosomal RNA (395 nucleotides) under uncultured bacterium. RNAcentral's name for it is "bacterial SSU rRNA". It matches the Rfam family "Bacterial small subunit ribosomal RNA", at positions 957 to 1353 of the family's 1533-position model. The record is from RNAcentral.